This is a long non-coding RNA of Daphnia pulex (common water flea), 1119 nucleotides long. RefSeq lists it as uncharacterized. The transcript has 2 exons. The record is from RefSeq and is a predicted model, not a curated record. NCBI's taxonomy places the organism in Eukaryota, Metazoa, Arthropoda, Branchiopoda, Diplostraca, Daphniidae.
CACGCGCCAAAGUAGAUGAUUCUUGGAUUAAACGCUGUUGCUCUUCUCGCUCCUUUUGCCAAGCCAAUUCUAGGCGAGUCCUGGUACCAGUAAUGCGACUUCUUCCCAUCGCCAUGAUUUUGUCUUCCUCGAGCUACUCAGAAAUUUUGAUUUCUUUGGCCGAUUUUUCAUUGAGAUAUUCGGUUUUAAUGCGUGAAGUUUCGGUUCGCGCUUCAUUCAGUUCGUCCUCAAGACUUGUAAUUUGGGCAUGGAAUUCUUCAAUACGAGUCAAGGUAUCUUCCAUCUGCAAAUAAUUGAUUUUGUUUUUAUUAAAGUAAUAAAGAAGAAUCAUUUAUGUCAUCAUACUUCACGAGAACGCGCGGCAUCUACUCCAGAUUUCGCUUUUUUGCUCGGAUCAGAUUUAAGUUCCGAUAUCAUGCGUUGAGCACCAUCCAGCAUUUCCCUGUUGACAGGAAAAUGAAGAAAACAAAUUUUUCGAAUAAUUUGCUAAGGUAAUUAUUACCUAAACGUAUCUCUUUCACGCCUGGCUUUUUCAAGUUGCAUUUGAGUCGCCUGGGUUUCUUCUUGAAGCAACGCGAUUUUAUUGUCAUUACGCAUUUUAAUAUGCGUCAUCUCUGAACGAUGGGCUUUCUCUUCUUGAGCCAAUCUGUAAUAAGAUUUCAGAUUUAUCGUUUAUAAAACUAUACAAUUCGAAUUUUUUAUUGAUGUUAUUUCACCUAUUUUUGAGUUCCCGUAGUUCACGUUCGUGCUCUGAUGAAUCAUAGGUCAUACUUCUCUUGAUUUUGGUUACUUUAUCGAAAUCUUCAAGUUUCCUUCGCAGUUCGUCGUUCUUUAUUAAGAAAAUUGUUAAUACAGGAGUAUUUUUGUAAACAUAAAGAAAGCUAACCUCUCGUCGGAUGUUAUCUAUGUGGUCCCUAUGCAGUUCUUCAUCACGUUUAAUCUUCUCCAAUUGCUGAUUUUUCUCUUCAAUAAUAUCUUUAAGUCGACUUCGCUCAAUGUACCAAUUUUCUCCAGAGUGUCGCAAUUCUUUUUCUUCCAACUCUUUCAUUUUUUCCUGUUAAAGAAUUGUGUUGAAUGUAUAUUCUAUGGUUUUAAAAUAUUACAAUACUCUUAGUCUUA